GACGAACGCUGUCGGCGUGCUUAACACAUGCAAGUCGAACGGAAAGGCCCUGCUUUUGUGGGGUGCUCGAGUGGCGAACGGGUGAGUAACACGUGAGUAACCUGCCCUUGACUUUGGGAUAACUUCAGGAAACUGGGGCUAAUACCGGAUAGGAGCUCCUGCUGCAUGGUGGGGGUCGGAAAGUUUCGGCGGUUGGGGAUGGACUCGCGGCUUAUCAGCUUGUUGGUGGGGUAGUGGCUUACCAAGGCUUUGACGGGUAGCCGGCCUGAGAGGGUGACCGGCCACAUUGGGACUGAGAUACGGCCCAGACUCCUACGGGAGGCAGCAGUGGGGAAUAUUGCACAAUGGGCGGAAGCCUGAUGCAGCAACGCCGCGUGCGGGAUGACGGCCUUCGGGUUGUAAACCGCUUUCGCCUGUGACGAAGCGUGAGUGACGGUAAUGGGUAAAGAAGCACCGGCUAACUACGUGCCAGCAGCCGCGGUGAUACGUAGGGUGCGAGCGUUGUCCGGAUUUAUUGGGCGUAAAGGGCUCGUAGGUGGUUGAUCGCGUCGGAAGUGUAAUCUUGGGGCUUAACCCUGAGCGUGCUUUCGAUACGGGUUGACUUGAGGAAGGUAGGGGAGAAUGGAAUUCCUGGUGGAGCGGUGGAAUGCGCAGAUAUCAGGAGGAACACCAGUGGCGAAGGCGGUUCUCUGGGCCUUUCCUGACGCUGAGGAGCGAAAGCGUGGGGAGCGAACAGGCUUAGAUACCCUGGUAGUCCACGCUGUAAACGGUGGGUACUAGGUGUGGGGUCCAUUCCACGGGUUCCGUGCCGUAGCUAACGCUUUAAGUACCCCGCCUGGGGAGUACGGCCGCAAGGCUAAAACUCAAAGGAAUUGACGGGGCCCCGUACAAGCGGCGGAGCAUGCGGAUUAAUUCGAUGCAACGCGUAGAACCUUACCUGGGUUUGACAUGGAUCGGGAGUGCUCAGAGAUGGGUGUGCCUCUUUUGGGGUCGGUUCACAGGUGGUGCAUGGCUGUCGUCAGCUCGUGUCGUGAGAUGUUGGGUUAAGUCCCGCAACGAGCGCAACCCUUGUUCACUGUUGCCAGCACGUUAUGGUGGGGACUCAGUGGAGACCGCCGGGGUCAACUCGGAGGAAGGUGGGGAUGACGUCAAGUCAUCAUGCCCCUUAUGUCCAGGGCUUCACGCAUGCUACAAUGGCUGGUACAGAGAGUGGCGAGCCUGUGAGGGUGAGCGAAUCUCGGAAAGCCGGUCUCAGUUCGGAUUGGGGUCUGCAACUCGACCUCAUGAAGUCGGAGUCGCUAGUAAUCGCAGAUCAGCAACGCUGCGGUGAAUACGUUCCCGGG
RNAcentral lists this ribosomal RNA (1343 nucleotides) under uncultured bacterium. RNAcentral describes it as "16S ribosomal RNA". It matches the Rfam family "Bacterial small subunit ribosomal RNA", at positions 28 to 1378 of the family's 1533-position model. The record is from RNAcentral.